RNAcentral lists this non-coding RNA (155 nucleotides) under Alphaproteobacteria bacterium. Its description in RNAcentral is "6S RNA". It matches the Rfam family "6S / SsrS RNA". Rfam says of the family: E. coli 6S RNA was the first non coding RNA to be sequenced, but its function was unknown until recently. RNAcentral also lists the same sequence under 1 other name. Lineage: Bacteria; Pseudomonadati; Pseudomonadota; Alphaproteobacteria. The record is from RNAcentral.
GAUAGGCUGCGUAGUUUGUAUUUCCGCAGAUCUUCCGAGCCAACAUUAUUUUAUAGGGAAUUGUCACUGCUUGGACCGUGGUCUUAAGUAUACGAUGCCCACCUGGUUAGAAGCGGUUCGAUAAGAAUGUAAAAUAUACGGCUAAACGGCCAUCC